This 253-nucleotide ribosomal RNA is filed under the name uncultured bacterium. Its description in RNAcentral is "partial 16S ribosomal RNA". It matches the Rfam family "Bacterial small subunit ribosomal RNA", at positions 524 to 776 of the family's 1533-position model. The record is from RNAcentral.
UACGGGGGGGGCAAGCGUUGUUCGGAAUUACUGGGCGUAAAGGGCUCGUAGGUGGCCAACUAAGUCAGACGUGAAAUCCCCAGGCUUAACCUGGGAACUGCGUCUGAUACUGGAUGGCUUGAAUUCGGGAGAGGGAUGCAGAAUUCCAGGUGUAGCGGUGAAAUGCGUAGAUAGCUGGAGGAAUACCGGUGGCGAAGGCGGCAUCCUGGACCGAGAUUGACACUGAUGAGCGAAAGCCAGGGGAGCAAACGGG